This is a non-coding RNA of Acanthosepion pharaonis, 116 nucleotides long. The record is from the annotation of a GenBank genome assembly. Lineage: Eukaryota; Metazoa; Mollusca; Cephalopoda; Sepiida; Sepiidae.
UUACGGUCAAAUCUCGCUGAAUACACCGGUUCUCGUACGAUCAACGAAGUUAAGCAGCGUAGAGCCAGGUCAGUACUUAUAUGGGGGACUGGCUGAAGAACACCUGGUACUGUAAG